This is a long non-coding RNA of Pseudophryne corroboree (corroboree frog), 248 nucleotides long. RefSeq lists it as uncharacterized. The transcript has 3 exons. NCBI's taxonomy places the organism in Eukaryota, Metazoa, Chordata, Amphibia, Anura, Myobatrachidae. The record is from RefSeq and is a predicted model, not a curated record.
UUGAUUGUUGACCUGCACCCUACUAGCACCAGCUGGGUAAUUACAAGCCAUGGGCCACACACAGUCUCCAGCCUCGGUGCCUGCAGUCUCUCACUGACACCAGCCCAGCAGAGUUCUGUCCUGGACACAACAAAAAACAACCACGUGGUGAAAUCCAGACUGCGCAAUCUUCCCGCGCCAGACGCGAGUACAAGGGAAAUGAGACCAACUAAAAGAGGAUGCUUUUCAAAUGAUGAUAUUGCAACUUA